GACGAACGCUGGCGGCGCGCCUAACACAUGCAAGUCGAACGAGCGAGAGAGAGCUUGCUUUCUCGAGCGAGUGGCGAACGGGUGAGUAACGCGUGAGGAACCUGCCUCAAAGAGGGGGACAACAGUUGGAAACGACUGCUAAUACCGCAUAAGCCCACGGGUCGGCAUCGACCAGAGGGAAAAGGAGCAAUCCGCUUUGAGAUGGCCUCGCGUCCGAUUAGCUAGUUGGUGAGGUAAUGGCCCACCAAGGCGACGAUCGGUAGCCGGACUGAGAGGUUGAACGGCCACAUUGGGACUGAGACACGGCCCAGACUCCUACGGGAGGCAGCAGUGGGGAAUAUUGCACAAUGGGGGAAACCCUGAUGCAGCGACGCCGCGUGGAGGAAGAAGGUCUUCGGAUUGUAAACUCCUGUUGUUGGGGAAGAUAAUGACGGUACCCAACAAGGAAGUGACGGCUAACUACGUGCCAGCAGCCGCGGUAAAACGUAGGUCACAAGCGUUGUCCGGAAUUACUGGGUGUAAAGGGAGCGCAGGCGGGAAGACAAGUUGGAAGUGAAAUCUAUGGGCUCAACCCAUAAACUGCUUUCAAAACUGUUUUUCUUGAGUAGUGCAGAGGUAGGCGGAAUUCCCGGUGUAGCGGUGGAAUGCGUAGAUAUCGGGAGGAACACCAGUGGCGAAGGCGGCCUACUGGGCACCAACUGACGCUGAGGCUCGAAAGUGUGGGUAGCAAACAGGAUUAGAUACCCUGGUAGUCCACACCGUAAACGAUGAUUACUAGGUGUUGGAGGAUUGACCCCUUCAGUGCCGCAGUCAACACAAUAAGUAAUCCACCUGGGGAGUACGACCGCAAGGUUGAAACUCAAAGGAAUUGACGGGGGCCCGCACAAGCAGUGGAGUAUGUGGUUUAAUUCGACGCAACGCGAAGAACCUUACCAAGUCUUGACAUCCCUUGACAGACAUAGAAAUAUGUAUUCUCUUCGGAGCAAGGAGACAGGUGGUGCAUGGUUGUCGUCAGCUCGUGUCGUGAGAUGUUGGGUUAAGUCCCGCAACGAGCGCAACCCUUAUGGUCAGUUACUACGCAAGAGGACUCUGGCCAGACUGCCGUUGACAAAACGGAGGAAGGUGGGGAUGACGUCAAAUCAUCAUGCCCUUUAUGACUUGGGCUACACACGUACUACAAUGGCGUUAAACAAAGAGAAGCAAGACCGCGAGGUGGAGCAAAACUCAGAAACAACGUCCCAGUUCGGACUGCAGGCUGCAACUCGCCUGCACGAAGUCGGAAUUGCUAGUAAUCGUGGAUCAGCAUGCCACGGUGAAUACGUUCCCGGGCCU
RNAcentral lists this ribosomal RNA (1332 nucleotides) under uncultured bacterium. RNAcentral's name for it is "bacterial SSU rRNA". It matches the Rfam family "Bacterial small subunit ribosomal RNA", at positions 28 to 1381 of the family's 1533-position model. The record is from RNAcentral.